GUCAAAGGGGCGACACAGGAGUCUAUUUACAUUCUCCCCAGCCUGAGCUCGUGCAUCCUGCCUUUUGUCCUGUUGGAUUUUGCAUGGCUCAGAGCUGGCUCGGAACACAGGGAGGGACAGUCCCAGAGGCAGAGCUUGCUUGCCCCUGCUAUUUAGAGCUCACAGUGAUCAAAGAUUGAAAACCGGCCUCUUCCUCAAACAACAUGAGUCAUUGGCCAAUGCAGAUGUGAGCAAAAGCAUCUUAGCCUCUCUGUUUUCAUACAGGGUAUUCAGAAAUAUUUCAACACUUUACAGCAACACACAAAAGGCAGAUUCACAGAGGAGCUCACUGGUCUGGAUCCUGAGAGUUAUUUACAUUCUUCAUCUUCACUUUUGAAGAUUUCAGGUUCUGAGCCUAUAACAAGAAAAGCCAGGUUCAGGAAUUUAAAUGCUAGCACAGAUAUUAAGGGAA
RNAcentral lists this long non-coding RNA (451 nucleotides) under Cyanistes caeruleus (blue tit). Its description in RNAcentral is "lncRNA (ENSCCEG00000011257.1)". Lineage: Eukaryota; Metazoa; Chordata; Aves; Passeriformes; Paridae. The record is from RNAcentral.